GAUGAACGCUGGCGGCGUGCUUAACACAUGCAAGUCGAACGGUGAAGCAGAGCUUGCUCUGUGGAUCAGUGGCGAACGGGUGAGUAACACGUGAGCAACCUGCCCCUGACUCUGGGAUAAGCGCUGGAAUCGGCGUCUAAUACUGGAUAUGAGCUGCGACCGCAUGGUCAGCAGUUGGAAAGAUUUUUCGGUCUGGGAUGGGCUCACGGCCUAUCAGCUUGUUGGUGAGGUAAUGGCUCACCAAGGCGUCGACGGGUAGCCGGCCUGAGAGGGUGACCGGCCACACUGGGACUGAGACACGGCCCAGACUCCUACGGGAGGCAGCAGUGGGGAAUAUUGCACAAUGGGCGAAAGCCUGAUGCAGCAACGCCGCGUGAGGGAUGACGGCCUUCGGGUUGUAAACCUCUUUUAGCAGGGAAGAAGCGAAAGUGACGGUACCUGCAGAAAAAGCGCCGGCUAACUACGUG
RNAcentral lists this ribosomal RNA (467 nucleotides) under uncultured bacterium. RNAcentral's name for it is "partial 16S ribosomal RNA". It matches the Rfam family "Bacterial small subunit ribosomal RNA", at positions 28 to 507 of the family's 1533-position model. The record is from RNAcentral.